RNAcentral lists this long non-coding RNA (275 nucleotides) under Elaeis guineensis (African oil palm). RNAcentral's name for it is "long non-coding RNA (EGUI_LNC034120)". The record is from RNAcentral. Lineage: Eukaryota; Viridiplantae; Streptophyta; Magnoliopsida; Arecales; Arecaceae.
CCUAAUUCUAAUCCUAACUGAAAUCUUAAUCCUAACCCUAACACUGACCCUAAUCCUAACCGGAUCCUUAACCCUAGCCCUGACACCCAACCCAAGCAUAACCCUUACCCUAACCCAGGUUCUAACCCUAUCCCUAGAUUUAAGCCUAGCAUGCUCCCUAACCUUAACACCUAAUCCUAACCAGAUCACAACUCUAACCAAACCAACCCGACUUCAAUAACCCAUUAACCUGAUUACCCAUGACCCAGUUGUUGCAUCUGUUAACCCAACACCUA